RNAcentral lists this long non-coding RNA (27549 nucleotides) under Triticum aestivum (bread wheat). Its description in RNAcentral is "long non-coding RNA (TAES_LNC027549)". The stretch from base 9561 to 9695 matches the Rfam family "MIR1120/MIR1122 microRNA precursor family". The record is from RNAcentral. Lineage: Eukaryota; Viridiplantae; Streptophyta; Magnoliopsida; Poales; Poaceae.
UUUUUUUUUGUUUCUUUUUUAGCAUUAGCCAUCUGUCUAGAGGCCUGUUGGUUGCUGGGUGGUACUACCGCUGGUGGUGCGCGGUACUACCGCUUAUAAGCGGUACUACCGCCCACCAGCGCGGUACUACUGCUGCGGGGCGGGGGCAGGGGGUUAUAUCGGGGGUAGGGGGAGUUUUCUUCUCCCCCAUACCCAUUCGCUCGCCCCCUCGCUCCGUUUCGUCUCUCCAGCAACCAGUCGCCGCGGAAGGGCUCCGACGGAUCUCCUUCUCCGGGGCGUCCCUCUCCAUUCCCUUCGGUGGAAUCGAUCCCCACCUCGUCCUCUUGCCAUGGAUGCCAGUAUUGCCCCCGUUCCCUCUCUCUUCUUGUCUAGAUUUCCAAUCUAGCAUCUUAGGGGCAAUAGUGGUUGCAUAUCUAGAUUUUUGGCCAAAUCUAGGCUUGAGUAGGAUGGAGAAGGCAUCUAGGCAGUUUGGAUUAGUGGUUGGUAGAAGUAUUUUUGAAUUUGGUAGGACGGUAGUGCCGGAUCUGACCACGGCAGUGGGAAACCGUUGUUUCCCCGUCUCGAGCGGUACUACCGCUUGGAGCGGUACUGCCGCUUACAGGUCGCGGUACUACCGCUUACAGGUCGCGGUACUACCGCUUGCUACCCAGUUCCACCGUACUCUUACCAUUCAGUGAUCCUUUUGUUGUGUUUUGUGGCUUAUGCUCUCUCUUUCUGGUUGUUCUGCGUGUUCUUGUGUGUGGUUCCAGGUGAUGAACAUCCUGAGCAUCAGGCUUGCCGUGUCAACCCCGGUCGUGCCACAUCGAAGCGUUACCGCACUACUGAGUCUGCAGGAGGUUCCUCAAGUGCUCCACCUCCACCUCAACUCAAGAAGAAGUCUGCUGUCAAGCCGAAGAAAACUGGCAAAACCGUGCCGGAGAUGCAAGCCAAGGAGUUCUAGGCAAGGCGUCGCCGCAACCCCUAUGAGGCUGACCAAGAUCCCACUUUGGUCAACCGUCCGUUCUGGAACAUGUUUCAGUUUGCCAUUUUCUUUGAUGUGCUCAAGGCCAAGAAGAACCUCUAUGUCAAUGUGCGCUCCAUCGACACCGACUAUAUGGAGAAGGAUCCUGAGUACUUUGGUGAAACUCUUCAGAUGUGCACUCAACUGAACAUUCUCGGUAUCAUGUAAUUCAACAAAGAUUAUGAUCCUGAUAUUGUGGCCCAAUUCUAUGCCAAGGUUCAUCUCGGGACUGAUGAGGACAGGACACUGACUUGGAUGACCAAUGGCAAGUUGCUUUCUAUCAAGUGGAAGGCGUUCAUGGAGUUGCUUGGGGUGGAAGAUCACGGGCUUGCGUCUCCUGUCGGCUUUCGCCCUCACCGCAACACAACCUCCACUCACAAGAAAGCUCUCUGGCCCUAUUGCACGCUGAAGUCAACUCUGAGACUAAGAAGGAAACUUAUGAGCUGCCUGCCUUUCUGGAUAUUCUUCACCGUGUCUUCCGUGAGACUCUGUUCCCUCGCAUAGGGAAUCUGGAUAUGGUUCAUUCUUAUCUCGUGGACAUGCUUCUCUUCUGCCAGCGUGAGAAGAAAGAAAACACUGGCGAGUCCCUGGACAUCUCUCAUGUUAUGUGGUCUGAACUCCUAUCUGCCAUUUCUGAGCGUAAGUGCCCAAUCUAUGGUCCAUUCAUCAUGCUGCUUAUUGAGAAGGCCUGGGAUCGUGUCUAUCCCAAGGUUAUGCUAGAGACUGGAGAGUUGGUGUCUCAUGAGGUCAAGCGUCUGAGGAAGAAGGACAACUGGGGCACUCAGGUCCCUAAGUCUGGGGGUGCAUCGUCUGCUGCUGCCAUGGAGACCGAGGAGGAGGCUGAGGCUGAGGAUGAUGAUGACUAUGAGCCUUCUGGGGCAGAGCCCUCUUGGGAAAAGAAGCUCAAGCUCAAGGUAAAGAAGCUGUUCUGCAUGGAGUCUCACGGCCAGUACAUGACUCAUGUUGCUGAGAAGAAGGCCAGGGGUCGUCACAAGGAGCUCAUGCGUCAGAUGGGUGCUAUCGUUCUCAGUGGAUCUGAGGACCAGCUUAUUAAGGAGGAGGACUGGGUUCAGCAGCAUUGCCCGUGGACAGAUUCUGAUGCCGAGCAGUUCCCGACCAACGACGGUGGCGAAGACGAUCACACUGAGAUCUGAUGUUUGCGACCUUGCUAUCACCUGGAGCCGUAGCAACACUCCCUCUCUUUUUGGUGUCUCGAUGCCAAAGGGGGAGAGAGUUUAGGGAUUUGUGUCGUCGCUGUCUGUUUCGCAAGUGUGUCUUCUUUGUGGUGUGCGUUCUCGUUGUUUGCUUUGUUUGGUUUUGUGUCAGUGUGACCUAAGUUCCAGACAUAUGGUGUGAGACAUAUGCUACCUUAUCUCUAGAUUAUCUUUAUCUAUGUCUACCUAGCUUAUGAGUUGCAUGCUUAUCUUGUUAUACACUCUUUUCUCUCAUAUAUCUUGCUUAGGUUGUUGGUCUCCAAAAUGUAGGGGGAGCGUUGAUCCUAGUAUGUGUGAUGUGCAGUCCAAAGCACCUAUCUAGAUAAGCACACAUCUAGGGGGAGCUCAUCUACAUUUGUGAGUUGUGGGGUUUGCGCUUUCUUCCCGUGCAAAUCCCGUAUUGUCAUCAAUCCACCAAAAAGGGGGAGAUUGUAAAGGCAUAUUUAUCCCCAAGGUGUUUUGGUGAUUGAUGACAAUGCUUUUGCGGACUAAUUGUGUGCGUUGAGUUUUUCAGAGAUUCAUCCUUUGGCACGAGACGAUUACCUCCCCCAGGUGUUUUAUUCAAGACGGUGUAGCUCCUUCGUUUCUCUAUUGGUGGACUAGUUUCGUAGGAGUCACCGUACUAUCAAGAGGGGAUCCGCUUUGGUAAGGCUAUGGUGGAAUCAGCACGUACACAUCCUUAUCACACCCGAUGUUCCUUUCCGCUUCUUUGGAGCUACCUUUCCUCUCCUUGCCUGCCUUGACCUAUCCCAGCGGUAGUACCGUGGUCCUCAGCGGUAGUACCGCCGAAGCACGUCAAGCGGUAGUACCACUCCCCGAGCGGUAGUACCGCUUGCUGUCUUCGGCCAUAGUACCGCAGUGGUUCCAGGCUACUACCGCCUCGACUCGAGACCUCUGUUUUUCAUGUCGGGUUUUACGGUACUAGUAGCGGCAGUAGUGGCGGUAGUACCGCUCCAAGCGGUAGUACCGCCCGUACUUUCGCGGUAGUAUCGCUCUGGGCCCAGGACCCUGCUACCCCCGUGAGCGUGGUAGUACCGCUGGGAGGGAACGGUAGUACCGCUUGUUCAGCGGUAGUACCGCCCUGCCCAAGCGGUAGUACCGCUCUGUGUGUGGCUGCUUGGUGGGGUAAUGGUUGGAUUGUUUCCCCCAGUAUAUAAAGGUGUCUUAUUCCCCAAAGUUGACCCACCUCUUCCCCCAAAAGCUCCAUUGUUGCUCCAAGCUCCAUUUUUUCCCGAUCUCUCUCCCUAGCCAAUCAAACUUGUUGAUUUGCUCGGGAUUGGUUGAGAAGUCCCCGAUCUACACUUCCACCAAGAGAAAUUUGAUUCCCCCCACUAAUCCCUAGCGAAUCUUGUUACUCUUGGGUGUUUGAGCACCCUAGACGGUUGAGGUCACCUCGGAGCCAUAGUCCAUUGUGGUGAAGCUUCGUGGUGUCAUUGGGAGCCUCCAAUUAAGUUGUGGAGAUUGCCCCAACCUUGUUUGUAAAGGUUCGGUCGCCGCCUUCAAGGGCACCAAUAGUGGAAUCACGACAUCUCACAUUGUGUGAGGGCGUGAGGAGAAUACGGUGGCCCUAGUGGCUUCUUGGGGAGCAUUGUGCCUCCACACCGCUCUAACGGAGACGUACUUCCCUUUAAAAGGAAGGAACUUCGGUAACACAUCCUCGUCUCCACCGGAUCCACUCUUGGUUAUUUCGUGCCUUUACUUUUGCAAGCUUACUUGUGUUGUAUCCCUUGCUUGCUUAUGUGCUAGUUGUUAUUGCAUCAUAUAUGUUGCUCACGUAGUUGCAUAUCUAGACAACCUAUUUUGUUGCAAAGUUUAAAUUGGUAAAGAAAAGCUUAAAAAUUCUUAGUUGCCUAUUCACCCCCCCCCCUCUAGUCAACUAUAUCGAUCCUUUCACUCUGGAAGUUGGACCUGGAUUUGCUGCUGCUCUUCUCAUAGACUUGAGUUUCUCAGGCCUGCAUUUUUUCACAACUAUUUCCUCUCCACUGUCAACCUCUUUCUUCUCCUGCCAAAACUCUGAAACAUCACUGUCACCUUCAAACUGUGGUCUGUCUUCUACAUCAUCUCUUUCUUCUUCAUUUCCAAUAUUUUCUUCACCUCUCUUUCAAGCCUUGUAAGACAUCUUUAUCCCUCUAUAGUCACCCCUAUCAAUCUCAAAGUCUGAGGAUGAUUUGUCAAUAUCAUCAUCCUCUUCACAAGCAGCCUAUCCAUCAUCAUCUCCACCAUGAGCUUCCGAAAUGUUCAAGUUGCAGCUUUGUUGUGUGUUCAAAUUAACUUCAAGAGGGUGGACCACACUAUCUUGUGACAGACUUAACACAAAACCAGGACCCCCCACUGGACUGCCUAUUGGAAUUUGUUCUUCACAAACAUUGUGAGCCCUGUUACAUUCAACAUCUCUAUCUUCAUUUGCCUUGGAAACAAUGAUAUUGAGCACUAUGAAAUUUGAGUGGUCUAUCAUUUCUUCAACUGCAUCUUGACUGUCUAGAAGCAAUAAACCUUCCUAUCCAAUCCCUUGUUCUUUUACCCAGUACAUGUAGUCAUCUGACCCAUAGCCUUCAGUCUCAGUAAGUGCUAUCAAGUUCAGAAAAGUGAUGUCUGAAACAGAAAACCUCCUUUCCAUGUUAUCUCUGCCCUGGAAAUGCAGCCUAACCUCCCAAAUUUCAUCAUCCAGCCUGCAUUAUAUAAUAUGUUAUUUGAAAACCCCAACUAACUAAGUGUUUUUGGUACAAAAUUCAGUGCACACUAACUAUAAAGUACAGUAAGGAAUCUGAAUCCAACAAAUGCUUCUCUGAAUCCACCAUGCAUUUCUACUAAAUCUAACUAAUCCUUCGGUGCUAAAUGAUAUUGUUGCAUCCAAAACAUGCCACAGAGUGUUUGCUCAACUUUUAUUCAGUGCAUGUUCAUGUUCUAAGAUGAAUCACAGCAACAUCAACCUAGGGUUUGGUCAAAAAACUAACUAAAUUAUGCUAUGUUGUUUGAAAUGAACAAGCGGAAUUGCAGAAACUGUUGAAGGAGCUCAUAAGAGAAAAAUAAACUUACUCCACCCCUCCAAAUGCAAAGGCCCAGUGUUGGGAGUUGGCCGGAUCUGCCUGCACAGCGCUAGAAAGAGACCUCACUGCUCUGUACUCAAGCGAGAACUGGCAAUCAUCAGGCGACGACGGUGUAGCCUGUGGCGUAGGAGCCUGCAUCAGAGCUGCAACCUGUGGUGUCCGCUGCGGCGACGGCGGCGCCACCGGCUGGGUUGCAAAGCUACCACUCCCCAGCCAGUUGUCAACCUCUGAGUACUCGUCGCCUCCAUCCCCCCUUCCACCUCCACCCAUUGAAUGGCCGCCAUCGCCUGGUUUUGCCGCUGCCGACGCCAUCGGAGAGGGAGGCGUGCGCGAGCGAGAGGGAGACAGAGAGGGGGAAGACAAGAGUGAGGGCGGGUCGGAUCCGUCUUGACCUGGUCAGGACGGCUCGUGCGCCCUAACAGCCGGCACCUGCGCGCCGUGAGCACUGUGGCCGACAAAACCCUGACGGGCAGGCUCCACAUGUCAUAACCCCACUUAAAACGUAACCAUUCGGCCACUUGGGUUUUUUGGAGCAGUCCGCCAUUUUUGUGGUAGUUUUUUGGAAAAUUAAAAAAGGUAGUUUUUCGAAACGAUAGCCCGUAAUGUGGUAGUUUUUUGCUAUUCACUCCUCGAAGGGUCAGGUUCCUUGUGGUGAACCUACUCGUCCGGGUUCAAGACUUAGGCUUGGUAUGAUACUCACACUUUCUUGGAUUUAUUUCAUGAUUUGAUGGAUUUAUUCUUUCAAUGUAAGCGAUGUGCUCGUCGAUAGCACGACAUUUGUAGUGACUUUGUCAAUCUCAAGACAUCUCGGCUUGGAGGUGAUCAUAUGGAUAGUGAACCAUUUUGGAAAAAGAAGGGUAACUUAGAAACUAACAAGCCAGGUCGAGUUGGCAUUUUUAGCUUGUUAGGGAAACGAGUUUGACGAGUCAAGAAUUACAAGUACUCGGUGGGCUCUUUAUUAUCCUUAAGCCAAGGGCUAGAAAAGGCCAAGACUUUUAGGGCAAAAAAUGUCUUAGCACACAAGUCCAAGUAUCUGUAAUAUCCAUCGGGAACAAGCUGCAUUAGUUGUUGACUAGGCACAUAGCAGUGAUGCGAAAAUGCCUAGGUCAAGAAAGAGGGGCCCCUCCAAGCCACUCGUCUCCUUUGGUUUCUACUCCGCACUUCCACCCUUCAUCUACUCUUCCUUCCACGAUAAUUGAUUACAUUAUUAAAUUGCUUAACGAAUUUACCAAGCUUAUCUAGCCCAUUCAAAUAUUUAACGAGCUGAGCCAAGCAGGGGGUUUGAGCUCAUCAAAUCAAUGAGCUCGACUGAAAGGGUUGAAGAGGUUGACUAGAGGAGGCGAAUAGGAGACUAUGGACUUUAUCUUAAUUAUCAAUUUUAGAGAUGAUGUGUGGAUAAAGUAAGUUCUCUAGAUAUAUCUACGGGGAGAACAACAUAUAUGGCAAGCAAGCUAUAAUCAAGGUAAGCAACAACAACAAUCUAACAAGCUAACAAGCAUUAUAGGUAAGAGAAUAGUAAAGGUUAAACCACAUAAGAUGGAGACGCAAAUGUAUCCUGAAGUGACACUCUUUGGGGACUGCUAAUCUCCGUCGGAGAGGUGCCAAAGACAAAGCUCCGGAACUCCAAGCAGCUCACCCUAGUUUUCCUUCGAGUCACCCCCAACAGAUGAGUCUCAUAUCACUCGUGGUUGGUUGUGAAGGCGAUCACCGAACCUUCACAAACUUCCUGGAGCACACAACACACAAGGAAGCUUUCGGGCCUUGACUCCUACAGCCUAGGAAUCUCAUAUUUCGAAGAAAAGUAAACUUGGUGAUAUGAACAAGAGUGUUGGAUUAUUAAUUGGUAUGUGGAAGUGUAGAUAGGGUGAUCCAAUUUUAAUCCUAAAAGUUUGAUGGAGUUUGAGUGGAGAGAUCAAGAGUAAUCGAGCUUUUCAAGGUUGUUAAUGGAGCAACAGCUCAAAACCAAGGUUCGGGGCCACCCUCGGGGGACGUGCGCACGGAGUAACCCAUGCGCUAACCCUAGAUCUCGUGCACAUGGGGUGUGUCCAGAGAGAUUUAGCACCCCGACCCCAUGUGCAUGGCGUCAGAGGGGUCGUGCGCAUGGGGUGUCUAGAGACAUUUCCCUGGACCCCGUUCCACGGGGUACCCAACACAGGCCAUCUUGGGAGGGGUUUUAAUCCAUAUUUUUUGUGGUAGGAGUGGGUAGGCUUGGUAUAUAUAUUUUGCAUGAUCCCCAUCCUUAUGCAAUCAUCUCGACCCCUCUUAAUGUGAGGUUCUCCUAUGAUUGAAAAGAAACCAAAACAAAAUCUCUGAGUCUUCAGAAAAACUAAUGCCUUUUUUUUCUUUUGAAGUGGGGGAUCAAUCAUCUCCAUAUAUAAUCAUCGAGAGACCAAUGUACUGGAUAAACAUAGAAAUGGCAUUAGUCUCACAAAUCAUAUUGUAUUCAGCAUCAAAAUAUCAUUAGAGGAUAAAUGCACUUCCAUCAACUGGCUCACGACUAUUUAUGAGUCGACCGAGCUCGAUAUCCACCAUCCUUUACCACCAAUAGAUAUGGGCUAGGUUUUCUUAGUUUUAUCGGGAUUUUUUUUGUUUUGGAGUACUCCAAAUGUAGGAGAUAUAUAUUAAGUUCCAGUGAGAGAAGACUUUGACCAAGAAUUAUUUUAUCACGGUGGAGUUUAUAGGAUAAAAACUCACACUUAUUAGUAAGUACUAAGUAUCGAUGAAGCAAAAGCUAAUGAUACCAAUUUCAUGCCAUAUAAACCACAUAUUAACAAAAUAAUUUUGGGCCAAAGCCUUCCCUUAGUGAAAUCUAAUAUGCCCUACAUACAAGAAAUGCAGAAGUAUAACAUAACGUUUCACUAGAUGGUAACAAUGUUUCAUUGGUAUACAAGACUAUUUGAGACACUUGUAAAUAACAAAGGACAAGACUACAAUGUGAUGUCGCAUCAUAUAGUCUUCACAUGUGACACCAGUUCACUCUCUCACAUAUGCAUGCAUGAAUGGGAUAUAUCAAGAUACCACACAUGUAAGCAACAUAAUAAAACAAUAUAUCACAUAUGUAAGCAUGACAUCAACAACAGAAUUGUUUUUUAAUUUUCAAGAAAACAUAUAUUUCAAACCAUUAACCUGAUUGGCGAUUUAUUUCACGAUUGGCUUCAUUAUGACAAGAUCUUCAAAACUAGAUCUCGAGGAUGGCAUUUUUCUAUUAGUAGUUGCUAGGAUGUAUCGACCGACUUGCUAGGUCAUAUGCACAUUAUUGCCACUUGGUUGCCAUGUAGCAACUUGGUUACCAAGUUACUAGAUGUUACACUCCACCCCCGCAUAGGAUUUGCAUGAGUACACAUUUAUUGAUGCCAUCUCUUACUUGCACAUAAAUUUCAACACUCACGCUCUAGGCACAAUAUUGCAAUGCCUAGAAUAUAUUUAUAUAAUUUAUUACUAGAUAAUCAUACAACAUAUUAUAUGGUGACCUCAUUUUACAGUAUGGUUCAGAGUGGUAGGCCUCAUUUUGUAGUAUGGCACAUGGCCUUGCUUUUUCUCCAAGCAAAAACACGGCUAGUUCAGUGAGGCUACGGUGAUGCUCUCAUCUUGGCAUUAGUGACCCCUUCUCUGCCCUUCUCUCCGUAAAUCUUUCAUCAUGUUUUUCUAGACGUUCCUUUUUUCUGGUGACUCGUUUGGACCCACGGCCGAUGACAUUCUUGCAAGGUUGUGUUAUGCACGCAUGGCUAGCUUGAUCUCACACUAUUUCUCGACUGAGAUGGUCUGGAGACAUACCUGUAGGGAGAAGAAAUGUGUGAGAACAACAUAAAAUGUGUGAAAGUGGACAGGAGAUGGUUUAGAAAGUCCACUAAGACAAGAAAGCCACAGGAGGUGGGAGCAUAUCAAGGCCAAAUCUUUUCCAAAGGGUUGUAUAUAGCCUCAGCUCACUUGUAACAAUAUGUGAAAGCCUGCAAAAUAUAGCUCAUGUGGCAUUUGAUUCAUUAUGAAAUGGGAAUAUAUACAUUCAAUUAAACUUUUUAACCACCCUCAUUGACUGCAUAUAUUACUAUUUUGUUGUUAAGACAAGUUUUAAACCAAGAAUAGUCUUCAGGUCUACAUCGACGACUUUCGGCCGCUAUUUCGACGAGCUCCUAGGUUUCAACAAGGCUGCUCCGGUGAGAUGAAGGCUCAGAGGGGGCAAUGAGCUUUGCUAACGGCGUGCCGUCGAUGAAUGCAAAAGGAAGACGAUGCUGGUUUUUGCAAGGACUUGACUAUAAUUUCUUAUCUUUCUAAGGAAGUUCUUGUAAGGGUUGAUCUUAUUUAAUACUCCCUCCGUUUGGAAAUACUUGUCAUCAAAAUGGAUAAAAAAUGGUAUAUCUAGACGUAUUUUAGUUUUAGAUACAUCUCUUUUUAUCCAUUUUAAUGACAAGUAUUUUCGGACGGAGGGAGUAUAUGGUCUUUGGCCUUUUCAUUAAAAAAAAAGGUCAUGUGACAUGAAACUAGUACCACUAGAUUAAUUCGCUUUGAAAGUAUUUACAUUUUAUUGAAACACUAAAAGAUAUUGUACUACUUAUUUGCAAUAGUGAUUGCGCAUCACAUGAAUAAACAUACAUUACGGGAGUAGAUCUUUUUUUCUUUUGAACCGGAAUACUCUCUAUUCCAUUAGCCAGCACUACCAGCCAAAUCGCCGUUAAUCAUAGCGUGAACAAAGUCUAGCGCCCCAUCCGGCCACAAGGCUGACGAUGGAAGGGCCAUACGCACACUAUGAGCAGCUAAAGUAUCAGCUACUUUAUUUCAGCCUCUUGGGCAGAAAACUAUCUCAAAAUGAGAAAAUUUUAACCUAGCAAAGAUUUUAAUCUCUCUGAAGAUGGCACCAAUUGCAGAUUGGUCAUAGUUCCUUCCUUUCAUUGCAUGCAUUAACCUGCGAGCAGCCCGACAUUCAUAGUUGCAGAUUUUAAUCUCUCCCGAUUUCAACCUCCGAGCAGCCCGACAUUCUUCGGUGGCGAUGGACAGCGAAUGGCACAUACUCUGCAAAAACCUGCUACGACGCUCUCUUCCUCGGCUCUACCUCAUCCCCCACAUGCCGAGCUCACUUGGAAGACUUGGGCCCCCCUGAGCGUCAAGUUCUUCAUAUGGUUGGCCCUGCAGGACCGGUGCUGGACGAACGAGCGGCUCGCGCACCACUGACUGCCACAUAGCAGCGCCUGCGCACUCUGUGAUCAGGCCACUGAAUCUAUGCAGCACCUUUUGAUUGGCUGCUCCUUCUCUCGCAUGGUGUGGCACGACGUAUUCUCCAGGCUACGGCUCACCAGCAGCAUUCCCCUCGGCCACGAGCCCUUCUUCGACUGGUGGAAGGCAUCCACGUCAUCUGCCCCGCCCUUCUCUUCGUAAGGGCACGGCCUCCCUGGUGAUCAUCGUCGCCUGGACCCUCUGGAAGCACAGAAAUGCUUGCACCUUCGACGGCAUCCGCCCGUUAGUGACCGACGCCUCUCGAGCUGCUCUGGCCGAGGCAGCAACGUGGGCCACGGCUGGCGCAAAAGGACUGCACUCCUUUGUAUUUGAACCGCCUUGAUCGAACCCUAUAACUGUAACUUUGCGUAGCCCCGGCCACGAAUGUGUUGCUUAGCCAUGCGCAUGUAAACUCCUCUACCUAUCAAUGAAAUGAUACGCUCUAUGCGUAUUCGAGAAGAAAAAAAUUGCAUGCAUUAGGAUGGUGGAAUUCGUCUCAACGAUCACAGAGGACAUACCCAGCUGAUGUGCGGCUUGUUUUAGGCAGGCUACAGAUUUCAGUGUGUAGUGGGCCUUGGAUGUAAGGUAUAUUGCCUGAUCCAGCGGCAAUCGCUUGACCUCCAGAAUCUCGAAUGAUGAACCCGUAACCAUCAUUGACAUACAGGCACGCAUGCGUUUCCAAAUUGUAAUAGGCGACAGAUAAUUUUGUGAUGGACAAUCUCCUAACCGGGAGUAUUCAAGUAUGGCACGGUAAUAACACCACCGCAUAUGUUGGUAUAGUAGUAGGAUUGAAACGACGUCACUUUUGUCCUGAUAACUUUAUACCCCCUCCCCCAAAAAGCAAUUUCACUUGACUAAGAUAGCAAUUAUAGCAACCUGCAUGCUUUAUCAGAGAUCGAACCCUACACUGCACUAGAGGCCCAAUUGGCAAAAAGGUUACAAUAGUAAACAUAAGGUAAGCCUAUAUAUAAGCAUUAGUAGUAUUGAACAUCACAUAAAAGAAAAGCAAAAACACUGUGAUUAUAUAACAUUAAACGCAUAACAACCCUCGUCGACCAGGCAGCGACACAUACAGUUUCAGUCUCGCAGCCAACUUUCUCCAUGUAUGCUUUUGAGUUUGAACCCCAACCGGUUCUUUCGUUGCAGUGUGAUGUCUUGCGCCCUUUUUCUUUUCAUUUUUUGAAAUUUGUACAAACUUCUUACAUUUACAUAUGUAAACGGCGGUAGCAAAAAGGUAAAUGAAAAAUUGAUAUGGGGUCUCAAAGUGCAGCAAGAAAACAGCAAUGUAUACUCCAUUAAUUACUGUAUUGCUGCUUUUGCUUUCUGGGCCUUCGAAACAUCAUAUCAUUUUAACUUAAUUUUCGCAACCGACCAACUUUUCCAAGGCAAAGUUAAGAACGAUCGGAGAGCACACACGCGCGCGUCUAGUCCUGUGCUAUAUAAAGCCCCACUGCCAGGUCCAUUGCAUUGCAGCAAGCGCAACAAAGCGAAGCGAUCUGUGCUGGCCAGUGCUACUGCUACCGCUACCCAUCCGGGCAGAGAGGCUGCAAGAAGUAAAGAUGAGCCCCGGCCGGGCGGCCACGGGCGGCGAGCGGCGGAGCAUACGGGGCCUGUUCAAGUUCGCGGACCGGGUGGACGUGGUGCUCAUGGCCCUGGGCACGCUGGGCGCCAUCGGCGACGGCUGCUCCACCAACCUCCUCCUCAUCUUCGCCAGCGACGUGAUGAACUCGCUGGGGCGCGGCCACGCCCAGCAGCAGGGCAGCGCCACCAGCGUGCACUUCAUGCAUGACAUCGAGAAGGUAAGUUACUGUUGGAACACAUGAAUGAAUUUCAGGGGAAAUUCACUGGGAUUCACACUUCAGAAACAAAAACAAAACGGAACAGGCCUAAAUGCAUAGCACAUGGUUUUGUACACAUUUCACCAUUUCCCAGUGCCAGUUGCGCCUACACUAAGUUGUUGCCUCCAUUUUGCGUGGUGCAGUCGUGCCUGAACUUCGUCUACUUGGCGUUCGCCAUCCUGGUGGUGGCGUCCAUGGGUAAACCUUUUGAGUUUUUGCUGCUACAUAGAUUUGCAUAGCUUGCCAGAUUGUUUCAACAAGGGAUAAUACUAACUUGGUGUACCCCUAUGGACAUGGACGCACGCACGCAGAGGGGUACUGCUGGAGCCGGACGAGCGAGAGGCAGGUGCUCCGGAUCAGGCACCUGUACCUGGAGGCCAUCCUGCGGCAGGAGGUGGCCUUCUUCGACUCGCAGGAGGCCACCACCUCGGAGAUCAUCAACAGCAUCUCCAAGGACGCCUCACUCAUCCAGGAGGUGCUCAGCGAGAAGGUACCACCACACCAGUCAAGCCCCCUUGGUCUUGAUUGGUUAAUUUGCUUUUCAAUGACCUUGAUCAUACGGGUACACAAAGCGGACGCGCUAGCUAGUCUUCACAAGUCACGCACGCCUCGUUUUUAUAUUGUUGGAUCCAUCCAUCGGCAUGUAGAUUCGCCUUGGAACUUGGAACCUUCUUCCUUCUUGAUUCAUGUACUAGCAGUGGUUUGUUUAAGACGAACCAAGGACAGGAGAAAAGUCCCCUGUCAUGGUGGCACACCUACCUACCUUGCCACUCUAGGUCGUCACUGAAUCAGUGCUGAAUCUAAUUGUUUGACUAGUUAAUGCUACCCAACCGCAGAAUCAGGAGAGAUAGAGAGAUUAGUACAUAUAUCUUGUUCUAAGAACAUGCAAAUGAAACAAUGAUGCUAGUACAAGCAUAUUCUUGCUUCUGUGAUUAGUACUAGUAGUAUCUACCUUAAGCUCUCUAGAUUCACACACCUUAAAGGUAGACCAAGAGAGGGAAUAUGGGAGCAAAUGAGAGUUCCGUAUGUGACAAAGCAUGGAAUGUUGACAUAGUUGAUAGUUCCUAUAAUAACGACUGCAUUAAAAUGACUCCAAAAAUAAACAUAUCUUAGCUGGAGCCAUUGAGACAGAACCUUUGUGCCGUGGUAAAUUUUGGUAACACCGACGUGGUAAAAAUAAUUUUGGAAAAUGGACAAUAAGAACUAGAUCUGGAAUGUGAAAAGAAAUAAUAGCAGAACUGACCGUUUUCCUCGAUUAUUUUACCUUGAACAGGUUCCUCUGUUUCUGAUGCACUCCACGGUCUUCGUCUCCGGGCUCGCCUUCUCCACCUAUUUCUCCUGGAGGCUGGCUCUGGUUUCCUACCCUCUGGUCCUGCUCCUCAUAAUCCCUGGUCUCAUCUACGGGAAGUACCUUCUGUACCUCUCCCGUGAGUCGCGCCACGAGUACGCCAAGGCAAACUCCCUCGUGGAGCAAGCACUCGGCUCCAUCAAGACCGUUUACUCCUUCACUGCAGAGAAAGGGAUCAUCCAGAGGUACACGGCAAUACUCGACAAGACCAUCAACCUGGGGAUCAAGCAGGGCAUUGCCAAAGGCCUCGCUGUCGGAUUCACCGGUCUCUCUUUCGCCAUUUGGGCCUUCCUCGCCUGGUAUGGCAGCCGGUUGGUGAUGUACCAUCAUGAAAGCGGAGGAAGGAUAUACGCCGCAGGAAUCUCCUUUGUUCUGGGUGGCCUGUAUGUUCUUCAUGUCCCUCCUCCCUUACUGACUUUUGGUUAUGUAAUAGAAGCUUAACUAUACAAAAAACUGAAAUGUUGUUGCAGAUCCCUUGGAAUGGCACUCCCGGAGCUGAAACAUUUCAUUGAGGCCUCGGUUGCUGCCACGAGAAUUCUCGAACGGAUCAACCGUGUGCCCCAGAUCAACGACGAUGAUCCAAAGGGGCUUGUUUUGGAUCAAGUCCGUGGAGAGAUCGAGUUUGAAUCCAUCCACUUUGUGUACCCAUCCAGGCCUAAUAUGACGGUCCUUAAAGACUUCAACCUCCAGAUUCCUGCUGGCCAAACAAUUGCUUUGGUCGGCUCAAGUGGCAGCGGCAAGUCUACCGCAAUAGCACUGGUGCAGCGCUUUUACGAUGCCAGUGAAGGAACUGUCAAGAUCGACGGUGUCGACAUCAAGAAACUUAAUCUCAAGUCGAUUAGGAGCAAGAUGGGACUUGUCAGCCAAGACCAUGCACUGUUCGGCACAUCCAUAAAAGAGAACAUCUUAUUCGGCAAACCAGAUGCAACCUUGGAUGAACUCUAUGCAGCAGCCAUGACAGCGAAUGCUCACAACUUCAUAAUGGGGCUUCCUGAGGGAUACGAGACUAAGGUAUGUUCAUCAUAAGGAAAACAUUCAGGUGCCUUAAUAACCUGUCUCCCUUGCCUUAUUGGUGAUUUCACUGUACUUGCAGAUUGGUGAGCGCGGAGCAUUGCUAUCAGGUGGCCAGAAACAGCGCAUUGCCAUUGCAAGGGCGGUCCUCAAGAACCCUGCUAUACUUUUGCUCGAUGAAGCCACAAGCGCACUUGACUCAGAGUCGGAGAAGCUAGUGCAGCAUGCACUUGAUCAAGCAUCUAUGGGAAGAACAACACUGGUAUAUUAACUACCUCGGCUCUUCCUACUUUAUAAUGCUAAGCUUAGGAUUUCCUGAAUCCUUUGGCACUGUAGCACUCAUUAUUUAUACCUUAAUACUGACCAGGUCGUAGCUCACAAGCUUUCAACCGUGAAGAAUGCCGAUCAAAUCGCGGUAGUCGAUGGGGGUAGCAUAGCUGAAAUUGGGACACAUGAUGAGCUGAUCAACAAGGGUGGCCCAUACUCACGACUUGUGAAAUUGCAGAAGAUGGUGAGCUACAUAGAUCAAGAAACUGACCAAUUUAGGGCCUCCUCAGCAGCAAGGACCAGUGCCAGCCGUCUCAGCAUGUCCAGAGCAAGUCCCAUGCCACUCACACCAGGUGUUUCAAAGGAAACCGAGUCAUAUGUUUCCCCACCUGCACCGUCUUUCUCCAGGCUUCUUGCAAUGAAUGCACCAGAGUGGAAGCAAGCACUCAUAGGCAGUAUCUCUGCAUUGGUGUAUGGUUCCUUGCAGCCCAUCUAUGCUCUAACCAUCGGAGGAAUGAUUGCUGCAUUCUUUGUUCAGGACCACAAUGAGAUGAAUGCAAUCAUCAGCCGCUAUGCAUUGAUCUUUUGCUCACUGUCCCUGGUAUCCAUUGCUGUUAAUCUAUUGCAACACUACAAUUUUGCCUACAUGGGGGAGCAUCUUGUUAGGCGUAUCCGAGUCCAAGUGCUGGAGAAGAUCUUAACCUUUGAGGCAGCAUGGUUUGAUGAGGACACAAAUUCAAGUGGCUCGUUGUGCUCUCGGCUAAGUGACGAGUCUUCUCUUGUCAAAACCCUUGUCGCAGACAGGAUCUCCCUGCUUCUUCAAACAGCCUGUGGAAUUGUGAUUGCGGUGACAAUGGGACUCAUAGUAGCAUGGAAACUUGCCCUUGUCAUGAUUGCUGUACAGCCCUGCACGAUGAUAUGCUACUAUGCCAAGAAGAUAGUUCUUUCAAAUGUGUCAAGGGACUUGGCAAAGGCUCAGUAUGAAAGUACUCAGAUUGCCAUAGAAGCUGUUUACAACCACAGGAUGGUGACCUCAUUUGGAUGUUCAUCGAAGAUUCUUCAGCUCUUCGAGCAUACACAAGAGGAACCAUUGAGGAAAGCAAGGAAGAAGUCAUGGGUAGCAGGGAUAACCACAGGGCUGUCGCCGUGCCUCACAUUCUUAUCAUGGGCAUUGGACUUCUGGUAUGGUGGGAAAUUGGCACAGUCCGGGGAGAUCUCAGCAGGUGAUGUCUUCAAAACCUUCUUCGUCUUGGUGAGCACAGGAAAGCUGAUUGCUGAUGCUGGCAGCAUGACAUCUGACCUGGCAAAGGGAUCAAAUGCCGUUGCUUCAGUUUUCGAGGUGCUAGAUAGGAAAUCUAUCUCUCCGCAAAAUUCACAGGUAACACAUCCAUACUCUCAUGAGCAUUGUAUGGAAUAAAAAUCAGCAGCCUCGCAGAAAAUAAUGAUUUUUAGGAUGCUAGAUUGCUGUAAGAUAAAAUACUAACAUGGCUACACUGCAGAUGGAAAAGGACAAUCCGAAGAGCAAAAUACAAGGACGGAUAGAGUUCAAGAAGGUGGAUUUUGCAUAUCCAACAAGACCACAAUGCCUGAUCCUGCAAGAUUUUAGCUUGGACGUCAAAGCAGGAACAAGUAUUGGCCUGGUGGGGAGAAGUGGAUGUGGUAAAUCCACGAUCAUAGGUUUGAUCCAGAGGUUCUAUGAUGUUGAUAGAGGUGCUGUAAGGAUCGAUGGUAUGGAUGUGAGGGAGAUGAAUGUUCUUUGGUAUCGAGGAUUCACCGCUCUAGUUAGUCAGGAGCCUGCAAUGUUUUCUGGCAGUGUCAGGGACAACAUUGCCUUUGGUAAACCAGAAGCUGAUGAAGAAGAGAUUGUCGAAGCUGCUAAAGCCGCAAAUGCGCAUGAAUUCAUCUCGUAAGUCUUAGAUAUAUUACCCGCUUGCAUAUAUAUUAAGCUAUGUACUCACAGUAUCCAACAUAUGAAACUUACAGCUUACGCCUUUUCAGAUCUCUGAAGGACGGAUAUGACACUGAUUGUGGGGAGCACGGAAUACAACUAUCAGGAGGACAGAAGCAAAGAAUUGCAAUUGCGAGGGCAAUAAUCCGAAAUCCAGCUAUACUACUUCUUGAUGAAGCAACAAGUGCUCUCGAUGCACAGUCCGAGCAAGUGGUGCAGGAAGCACUUGAUCGGAUCAUGACAGGGAGGACCACAAUCGUAGUGGCACAUCGACUAAACACAAUCAAGAAUGCAGACUCAAUAGCCUUCUUAGGAGAGGGCAAGGUGAUUGAGCGUGGUACUUACCCACAACUCAUGAACAAGAAGGGAGCAUUCUUUAACCUGGCAACCCUUCAGAAAUAAAUUGAUUGUAUAAUGUAACUGCGGCAAUAAGUGAUAUCAUAGCCCAAUAUAGUAUAAUAUCAGCACUCCUUGACAAAUUUUGGAGCAAUUCUCGAUCAUCAGCUUAAUUUAGGAAGUGUUACUAAAACAAAAGAAAACAAGGAGGAGUAUGUGCACUAAUGUUGUUCUCCUCUCCUGAUAACAUGCUGCGGAUUUUAAGUUGUAACACGAUGCUAAAGGAUUACAACAGAGUGGAACAUAGCCAAAAGAAGGAAUACCUACAACUGAACAUGGCCAUCUCUCCACUAUUACUUGAAAAUGAUAUUUAGGAGUCUUCCUUUGGAUAUCUCGAUCUCCUUCCUCAAGUUAUCCAUCUCUACCUUGACCAAUGCAUCGACAUCAAUUAAUCGAAGUUCAUCAGAGGCUAGCCGCUCUUUUACUUCGGCAAGAACCUGCUUAUAGCUCUUUAGAACCGUCUUAACCCUUACUCUUUCCAUUAAAGACUUCUGUACUAAGCUCUCAUGCUCAGCAACUUGAUGCACCAAUUUCUGUAUUUCAUCCUCCAUCAUCAUGGACUGCUGCAAGCCUUUGAUCUCAUCCUGAAGGGCAUGCAAUUUUUUCUUCUGUUCUUGCGAUGUCGAGACAGCGAUGUUACCAUCACAUGUUACUUUCUUGUAAUCAAAUUCCAAGGAAGUGCAUGCGCUUUCCAGUUCUUUGAGCUGCCACUUCAGCUGAUCUUGUAGCUUUGUGGAAAACUCUUCCUUCCGGCUCUCCAUAUUGAAAUUGUGAAUCUCCUUGAUUUUUUUAGCAUGCUCCAGUAAUGCAAUCACUACCCUUUGAGCAUCAACAUCCUGAAGACAUGAAUCCCACUUAAGAAUUUCUUUCUGCACAACAGCUUCAAUUAUAGCCGCACAAUGUAGGUCUGAAGGAGAACUGCAAAUGAUUCCCUGAACGUGUGUGAUGGUCUUCAUAAAGUUGUCACGUUGAAUAUGAAGUAACACAGUUUCGAGGGAAUUGGUGUGUACUGAGGGCUUCCAUGUCAAACUUAACUCAUUUAUUAUCAUAGAUGACAACUUGGACUUGGUCGGCGGUGACGAGUCUAUCCAAUCCCUCCCCAUGAACAACUCAGAACUCUCUGCAGCAUUUCUAUCGACUUGCUCUUCAAAGAUUUCUCCAUUAUUUCCUUGAUCUAUUUUCUCCUCAUUUUCUUGAUUAUGCUGAGGUUUCUUACUUAGGCUCACCUCACCUCGUGUUCGUUUGAGUCUCUUGAAGUCUUGAGAUAAGGAACCUACAAAGGCACAAAUUGGUUUAACUGCAGUAUAAGGUGUUAGAAGGCAGUUGUGAGUUCUGAUUAAGAAGAGACCAAGAAUACCUAUAGCAUGCUGGCGAUCUCCUUUCAAAACAUGCUCUGGUUUCUCGUAGAGUAAACACGCAUGCCCUGCUCUGUGCUCCACCUGAUCAAUUCUACUGGAUGGUGAUGAUUCUAACACUUCAGGUUUUUCUUUCAAUCCACUAUCUAUGCUGCCACCGGAAUUCUUCAAGUGUGCCAGUCGUGGUGAUCUUCGUGGUGUUUCAGAAAUUUGCUGUGAUCGCGACUUGACUAUUCUCCUCUUCUGUUUGUACGACAAAUCACAUAACUCAUGGUCGUCAACUAGCUUGCUCUUCACUGCUGGCAGGUAAAUUUGUAGUGCCUGAGUCGACAAGUUAGGCUCCUCAAGACUGCUCUCCCUGCUAUCACAUAUUUGAGGAGGACAAUCAUCCCCUGUGGGGAAGAAGUGUCGUAGUUCCCUCUUUAUAAAAUCAACUGAUCAAUAAAAAAAGAUGUGUUUCAACAUGCUAGAUGCAAAAAUGAUAGAAAAUGAGGCAAUAGAAGUACUUACGUUGCAGAACAAGUUUCUGCUUUAGAAACUGGUUCGGAAUUUGUGGUUUGCCUCUACAUGUGUUCAAAACCUCUGCAGCUGCAUCUGAGUCCCACUUAUACAAACAGAGUGUAGCACAGAAUAAGUCAACUGUAGCUCUGUCAACAUGCAAUCUGCUCAUUACUUCAGCUAUUACUUUAGCUUUAUCAUCAUCCAUUGGCACCUUCAACAAUAAGUAUAUCUUUAACUCGUCCUUCAAACCAUCUACUUCAUGAAGAUGUAUGUCAGCGAAGCUCUGUGGAGAGAUAUGUCCAUUACCCUGAGUACUCCCUUGGAAGGGAAAUAUCUAAAAAUUAAUAUAAAUUAUCAGUUCAAGGAGACACAAAUUUUAAGCCUCUGCUCCUCUGCACACCCAAUGUGAGGCAUGUGAAAAAAAAAUGACUUUAGGACCUUCUAACUUGACAUGAAAAAAUAGAUCUUCUGAUCCCUAAGCUUCCCGAGUUGAAGAUAAUUUCAAAAAAAAAUUGUUUUACAGAUGAUAAUGUGUUCUAUAUAUGAUUCCAAAAUAAACUUGUGAACAGAUUUGCGCAUAAAACUUAUCUAAACUAUUUGAAAAACAAAGUGACUCCAUACGAACAAGAGAGUAGGCAAAAUGUAGAGAGAAAAAUGUGGCUUGUACGAAAAUUACUUAAUUAUUUGCUCAAGAUUAGAAUAAAAGAUUACUUUUGUAUCAGAUUGAUCUGGUACCAUAACCAGUGAGUGACUCUGCCUGAGAUUAUUGGUGGUCUUCGUUAGUUCAUCACCACUAUGUCCUCGCUUACAAGUGGGGAGUAUCCUUUCUAGACUUUCAGUAGCACUUCCUGAAGACCGGACUGCUUUCUCACAAGCAUUCCGACCAAAAAUCGAAACCAUGAAAUCCAUUUUCUUGUCAUGUCUGAAGAGUAGGAACUCAUAUUCCCUCAAAGAAUUGUCCACCACAAACUUGGGCCAUCCGGUGGUCAGAAAUACACAGCGGUCAACCUUCUCUAGCUCAACAACCCAAGUCUUCCCUUCUGGACGCUUAAGCAUGGCUUGAACAGGUGAAAUGUUGGAACCCCUGAGGCCCACCUCUGGAAUGUAACCGAGGAAGUCUCGAGGUAUCUCCUACAUGUGGAAGCAAACAAGGUUAGGGCAUACCUUAAGCCAUGAAAUAGAGAGUCAAGAUGCAAAUGCAGCAUGCACUCUUGUUUAAUCAUUGAAAACCAAAAGUGUAUGCUCACAAUGUGAAGCUUUACUUCCACAUUUGCAGAACACGCAUGCAGAGGGAAAUAAAUGUAGUAUUCACCAGCCGACUUUUUUUUCCCGGUAAAUGGGUGGAUUUUAUUGGGUUAAAAUGGAACAUCAAGGGAGGAUACAAACACAAUGAGCCCGACUCUUUCUUGGCCUAGCCUAUCAGACAUUGACACAUUGCUCUGUUUUCUAGGAAAGAUGGCGUUUAUGCAUAAACAAGCACGCCCUUUGAAGCUUCGAACCACCUGCACUGCAUCGCGUCCAGUUAAAAAUGUUACAAAUCGCACGCAUGCGCAUGCAAACAUGUUUUUUUUUAGGAAGACGCACAUGCAACCAUGGGAUUCCUUUCUUUAUCUGAAAUAACAGCCAUGGACUUCAAUAUGAAGCAUCCAAUCCACAAAAGAAGAUUAGAUAGUAUAGGAUUUAGCACUCCACCACCUAUCGGAUAGCACGUUUGCCGAUAGCGCAAACGCAAUGCGAGGAUCUUGGAGCAGGAACAGCUACUGCGGGAUGGGGGGACAGUGCCAAGUGGAGCAGGGAACCCAGCCCAAUCGCGUUCUUGGCUUGGUCCUAUUUUUUGCCCUUUCUGAUGAAGGGGAGCAAAAGGCGCGCGCAUGCAACCAGCGCAACAACUGAAACUGAAAGAAAGGAGGGAAGGGGGAGGAAGGAAUAAUACGCACGAGGCGACGGGCGAAGUCGCCGACGAGGACCUUGAAGAAGCGAGGCCUCCCCUCCUCGUCUUCUUCCAUGGCGGAUCCCGCAGAUCGAUCCCCGUUCGUGUUCAUCCCUCCUCUCGCUCCGUCCGUCGCUCGAGGUGGGGUGGUUGGCUGGUAGUGGUGUGAUGGAUGGAGAGUGACCUCGGCAGAAUCGCCGCCGCUUCUCCGGCCCUGUCGAAGGCGGAAAGCGAUCCUUCUUUAUUGCCUGCCACCUGGCGUCUGGUUCGGGGCGUGAUGGAGGGAGCACGCCUACACGGCUUGUCAGGCCUGGAAACGGCUGCAUACACACAUCCGUAGGGCACGGUCCAGGCAGGCUAUACAGCCAGGUAGGAGUAGAUCAGUAAGGCUGGUCAUAGUGGGGAGUAACUUAGACUAGUAACAUACAUAUGUUACUAGUCUAUGUUACUACCUUCAUAGUGGGUAGUAUCAUAGGUGUGGUAACAUAUUUGCCUUCAUUUAUUACUUUGUAGACUCAUUAUGCAUUGGAAACCGCUAUGUGAUGGUAACAUAUUAUGUUACUCUAUUUGCCUCUCUCCUCAUUAACUACUUGUCACAUCAUCAUUUUUGCUUAUGUGGCAUCUAUGUUACUACCUAUGCUACUCCCACUAUGACCAGCCUAAGACUGGCCACAGUGGGAGUAACUUCAGCAGUAACAUCGAGUCCAACUCAGCAAAUUUGUUUAUGUGGCAGUGAAUUAAUGAGGAGAGAGGUAGUUAUAGUAACUUAGCUAGUUACUGUAACAUCACAUGUCCCAAUGCAAUAUGAGUCUAUAACUUAAUAAAUGAAGCUUUGCAUGUUACCACAUUUAUGUUAGGCCAACUCCACUGCGCGACCCCAAACGGACGUCCAUUUUGUCUGGAUUCUGUCCGUAUGGGUAGGAAUUUAGGGUCGUGUCCGGGCCUGUCCUGGGAUGCGGUGGCGUGCGCCCAGCGCGCGGCUGCAUCCAUUUGCCCCAUCCUGUUCGCGUAUAUUUCUUUACAAGUCCAACUUUAUUUCAUCAUUCAUUUGUGGUACAUAAAAAAUACAUCAUCAUAUUUUGACUAAUAAAGCAAGGCCAAAAAAAAUAAGAACCACAAAAAUACAUUUGAGAAGAUACCCAACUUCCAUAACUGCUCCCUUGAGUUGGGUUAGGGCCUUCUCGAUGCACUCAUUGUUGAUCUGUGGAGGAGGCACGACGUUGCACCCUCCUUUCUUCUUCAAGCCAGAAGCCGACGUUGCUUCCUCACACGUAGUAUCGUGCCUUGUUGCUUCUUCGCACAUAGUAUCAUGCCUAGCCUCUAAUCUAGCAACAAGUGCACUUAUCUCAUCUAAAGCCUCUAGGCUAGCUAAAAGUGCACGAACAUGCACUACAUUUCGCUCUAUCAACAUAUCGAUGUACUCUUCUUCCCAAUACCAAAACUUGCAUCCGUUCUGCACAAUAAAACUUAAAGUUAGCACCACUAGUCUAAUCGAAGAGCACAAACCGAAGCUAAAAAGAGCACAUACCCCAUCGUUUAAGCACUUGAUGAACACCCAUCCGGGAUGCUCCGGCGUCGUAGACACGCGGCGCACGACCACCUUUGGGCAGUGGUCGCACUUGAUGAGGAGCAACGGUGCGCCGACGAGCUUUUGGGCAAGAACCGAGCCCGGCCGGCCGCCAUUCGCGUAUCUGCCGACGGACCAUCGACGAUGCAGAUCCAAGCAGCUAGAGGACGAGCCACUGCCUGCAUGUGGCCUUGCGGCCCUGCCAGGGCCUUCCGGCAAGGUGCCCGGCCAGUCCAUGGCGCGGCCCGACCUCCCACAACUGGGCAAGCUCAAGACCGACCGGAUCCGCCCCAAUCCGGCCGGCGGGUGCGCAAACAAGGUGGCCGUGCUUGGGUAGCUCGGCGGCGACGAGAGGAAGGGGCUGGGCAAGCGCGCGUCCGAGUUGCACGGCUGCAAUGGCAGCAGGCGGGCGGUCGGCGGCGGCGAGGGGAAGAGAGGGGGAAAGUGGGGAAGAGUAGAGUGGAUGCGGCCGGAGGGAGGGAGGGGGCGGAUAGAAAAAGGCCCGUCCUGUGCCUCCGACGGGCGGGCCAGGGGAAGACACACGCAAACGACCCGCGCGUCCGCGUGGUGUCCGUUUCACCCCAAAAGCGGCGCAAACUUGGGCCGCGGAUGGGUCGAAAGCGGACACAAAGCGGACAAAAGUCCGUUUGCGCCCACGCGCUCGGCCGUCUCGUUUGUCCCUUUUACCCCAAACGGACAGGGGCGGACAGGAUAAGGUCGCAUGGUGGAAUUGGCCUUACUCCCCACUAUGAAAGUAGUAUCAUAGUCUAGAGAUAUAUGUAUAUUACUAGUGUAUGUUACUCACCAUUGUGGCUAGUCUAAACCACGGUGUGAAAUCACGCUCACCCAACGUGGCCGUGCUGUUUGGUCGGGCAAUGAAGUGAAAGGUAAGAGCAUCUCCAGCCGUUCGCCCCCCGAGCGGUGAAAAAAAGCCGUCUGGAAACGAACCGCCGUUAGUUUGGCGCGUGGGUGCGACUCCGUUUCCAGUCGUCGCUAUUAGUUCGCUGCGAGUUUGGCAAAAUUACGUGCAAACAUGUGCAAACUCGGUGAUCUGAUACGAACUCAGUGAAAUUUCAUUAAAAUCUGUACAAAAAAGGAAAAACACUACGGCAAACUACCCUAGCCACUACGCCGUCCAUCAUCCGCCAUCUUCAUGACGAGAAGCCUGUAGAAGCGGGUGUAGUCGCCGCCAUCGUCAUCGUUGCGCGCCCCGCCGGAGCCCCCCCCCCCAUCCCUGCUGCACCCCUGCCCAGAGUCGCCGAUGCGCGACGACGCUCUGGACGACCCGGUCUCGUCCUCAUCGUCGUUGUCGAGGACGAUGAUGCCGCCCUCCUCGCGGCUGUGUUGCCUGGCCGAGCGCCGAGCCUGGAGCUCCGCGUACGCCUGGCGUUGGCGGCGCACCUACUCGCGGACGUAGUCCUUCUUCGUCCAUUUCAGGGCGGCCUCGUCGUCGGGGGCGACCAUGUCGACGUGCUCCGGCAUCAGGGGGAGCAGGCCAGGCUCGGGCUUUGGCCGAACCAGGCGAAGGGAGCGCGGGGAGGGACGGGCACCCUCGUUGAUGACGAGGGCGCCGAUAUGGGUGCGGCGCUGCUGCGGUGUCUCCUCCGGCUCGGGCUUGACGGGACGGAGAGCCGGCGAGCCAGAGAGAGCGAGCCGGAGCCCGACGACGAGGACGUCGGCUCCAUUCGCCACGGCAUCCAGGAACUGUCGCGGCGGCGAGAGAAGGACGGCCGCGCCGGGUACUCGAGUCGCGGCACAUGCUGGUCUCGAUGUGGUCGAGGACGGCCUCGAGGGUGUAGCCGGCAACGCCCCACCACUCGCGCCGUCCUUCGGCAUUGUGGCGGCCGCGGGGAAUGACAUCAUUGACGGAGGCGAUCUGCUCCUCACGGCGGCGCUCGAAGUACAUCGUCCACAACGUUUCGCUGUCAGGCGCGUACCUUGGCUCGUUCCGCUGUUCCUCCGUCAGGGAAGAGCGGAUGCGGGCGAUCUCCGCCUGCCGUGCCGCCCCUUCGGGCACCGGUGGCACCGGGACACCCCCGGCACGCGCCUGUCGGGGGGGGGGGGGCGCCGGGCACUCGACCUCGUAGAGGAGCCGCGCCUCCGGCUCUUGGAGGUGGCGAUGGCCGAAGCCGUUCGCCUUCGCGCCGUCGCCUGUAAACCUCUCGGCCAUCUUUGCUCGUCAGCAGAAAGGGGGAGAGGGAUGCUUUUGCGAGGCGGAUGCAGGGGAGGUUGUGGCGUUCACCGGCGGGGAUGGGUCGCCAUUUAUAGCCCCAGCUGGGCGGGAGGAGGCUUCAUGUAGGCGACGCGUGGCGGGAGCGGGUGGGACGUGCGUCGGCGCCGCCUUUACUGCGUCGCCUGUGAGGCAUCAAUGGAGGCUGGCCGCGCGCGGCAGCCUUGGCCAGCCUUGGCAUUGAUUCCCGCAAGAACCGAGGCGAUGAGGGCGACGAAGCCGUGUCUCGCUGACUAGGCGGGCCCGCCCCCGUUCACGCCAAAAUUGCUCGCUCGGCGCCCCCGGGCGCCCCCAGCGCGCCGGGUUCGGCUUGGGUCCGCCGGCGCUAAUUUCGGCCCAAACCGGCGAAAAAUGGGCUCCUGGGGGCACGACUGGCCGUUUUUUCGGCGCCGGCGCGAAGAAAUCGUCUGGGGGCGUGUUGGGGGCUCGGUUGGAGAUGCUCUAAGGCCAACUCCAGCGCACGACCCCAAUCGUACGUCCGGUUUGGCCAGAUUUCGUCUCUUUGGGAAUGGGUUCGCCCACAUCCGCUUCUGUUCGUUGGGUUUUCGGCGUGCCCAGCGCGUGACCGCAACCCAAAUCAUGUCCGGGGUGGACGUGAUUAAAAAACAGAAAAACUAAAAUAAAUGCCAAAAAAGUAAAUAAACACAAAUAUAAAAACAUAAAACAUAAAUUAACCAUCACGGCCACAAAACGGCCCGGUUCCACGGUUCACAUUGACAUAAUUAACAUAAAAAACAAAAAAAAAGUUGUCCGCAUGCUCCUGUCGUGGCUGUCGCCGUCUUCAGUGGCCGUCAUUGUCGUCGUCCUCGCUGACGAGCUCGACAUACUCCGGCGGCGUCCAGAGGUGGGACGGCGGCGCGUGGUACACGAGGACGGGUUGGAAGGCCGGAGGUGCAUACACUAUUCUCCUUUCCAUUUAUUUUCCAAAAUCGAUUGUUGUCUCACAGUUGAUGUGAGCUAUUAUGCUAUAAUCACUACUAGAAGGGUUAGGUGCGCUUUGAUGCGCCGUUGAUGUUGUUGAGUUUCUUUAAAACAUUACUCAUUCUGUUUCAAAAUAUAAGAUGUAUUACAAUUUUUUUAAAGUCAAACAGUUUUAAGGUUGAUCAAAUUUGUAGAGAAAUACAUCAAAAUUCAUAAUAACAAAUCGGUAUAAUUAGAUUCAUCAUGAAAUGAAUUUCCCUUUUUUUUGCUUAAUAUUGUGGUUGUUGACAUUUUUGGCUCUAACUUUGUCAAAGUUAAAGGAAUUUGACUUUUCGAAAAAUAAUAGUGUUCUAUUUUUUUUUAUUGUUUGAUGAUUUGAUGGGCCUUUCUCGAUGUGAUUCUGUGUUAUCCGCUAGAAUUACAUAUUUAUGUGGGGAAAUUUCUGCGUCGGUAGCUGCAUGUACUAUAUUGGUGCUACAGUGUCAUAUGGUGUGGUGUUUCUUUAUGUUUUUAUAAGCCGGUUGCUGCUGAUUGAUUUGAAAAAGUAUUGACUCCAUAAUUUAAUACCUCAAUCGAAUUGAAGAGUUUUAAAAUUAGGGAACAAUAAUGACUCAAAAUAAUUGAAUAAGAGAGCUCCUUGAGCAGUUGUUGACCUAGUCAAAAUUGAGUGACUCGAUUUAAAUUGAAGACCUCAAUUAAUUGGGAGGCCUUAAAAAUUGGGAAGCAUAGUGUAUAGUAUUAAAAAAUUAAAUGAGAGAGUUUUGAUAAAUUGUUGACCCAUUCAAAAUCAGGUGAUCCAAUUUCAGUUGGAUAUCUCAAUUGAUUGUGAGCCCUUUAAAAUUUAGGAGCUUAGUGUUAUCAAUUCUUUGAACGAGGUCGACAAGCAUUGUCAGGCUUUCUUUUGAAAAGGAGAAGAUCAUGUCAAUAAGGGCCGCCGAAGUGGUGUCGGACAACUUCCUCUCAUUUCCUUCCUAUUUCUAGGCGGCUAGGCCAAACUUUUUCCUCCAGACUUUACCGGCAAGCCUAUGAAUUUCCCUCCCAUCCGCUUGCCGAUCCGAUGGCCAAUGGCUGGAAGGAAAAUUCCGAUGCCUCAGUUAGUAGUUUAGGCUAGAAUUUUUUAGCCUCAUAAAACUGCCCGGCUGUCAUCAACAAGGCCAAGCCAACUCCUAUUAAGAAGAGUGAUAAUCUCGAUGUAAUUUCUACUCCCUCCGUCCCAUAAUGUAAAACGUUUUUUCACACUACACUAGGGACGGAGGGAGUAUUAUGUAUGAGAUGCUAUGUGCUUCCGAUGAACUUUUAUAAUAGAUCUGAUCUUUUUCGCAAAAAAUAAAGCAUCGGGGCCGUCACACGGAGAUGAGCUGAUGUAAUUUUCUCAUAUUUCCCCUUUCUUUUCUCCCUGGCUUGUCCUUGCAAUUUAUUUGCUCUUAUUAGUACGGUCCAAAGAAAGAACUAGUAGUACAUGUUGAGUGGUAAGUACCCACCAACGAUAGUUUCUUUCUUGCUUUGUUUCCAAGCUGAUAAUCAUGAGGGACCAGAUUAAAAUGACCAAGCAAAUCCAGAGAUUGGCCAAACAAAACAUACACCUAACAUUAGGUUAUCUUCCAUGUCCACAAUGCCAUCCACAAGGCUUCAAAUGUAAGUUCUUCCGGUGUCACUGGAGCGAAUCAGUUUACAAUAUGUUUAAGUGACCAAUUAAAAACAUGAGACAAGCUUCAUGGACCGGAAACUUUUCUUCUUCGAGGCAGUAAACUGUCAACGGGCAACUUAC